Molecule: transfer RNA, 67 nt
Filed under: Strongylogaster xanthocera
Lineage: Eukaryota; Metazoa; Arthropoda; Insecta; Hymenoptera; Tenthredinidae
Description: tRNA-Ser
Source: RNAcentral
GAAAUAUGUAGAUCAAAUAAAAGCUUCUAACUUUAUAUUUUAACGAUUUAAUUUCGUUAAUAUUUCU